RNAcentral lists this ribosomal RNA (484 nucleotides) under uncultured bacterium. RNAcentral's name for it is "partial 16S ribosomal RNA". It matches the Rfam family "Bacterial small subunit ribosomal RNA", at positions 30 to 507 of the family's 1533-position model. The record is from RNAcentral.
AUUGAACGCUGGCGGCAGGCCUAACACAUGCAAGUCGAGCGGAGGAAGGUAGCUUGUUCCUGGAUUCAGCGGCGGACGGGAGAGUAAUGCCUAGGAAUCUGCCUGGUAGUGGGGGAUAACGUCCGGAAAUGGGCGCUAAUAUCGCAUACGUUCUGAGCGAGAGCGUGGUGGUUCCUCGGACCACACGCUACCAUAUGUGCCUGUGUCGGAUUAGCUAGUCGGUGGGGUAAAGGCCUACCAAGGCGACGAUCCGUAACUGGUCUGAGAGGAUGAUCAGUCACACUGGAACUGAGACACGGACCAGAGUCCUACGGGAGGCAGCAGUGGGGAAUAUUGGGCAAUGGGCGAAAGCCUGAUCCAGCCAUGCCGCGUGUGUGAAGAAGGUCUUCGGAUUGUAAAGCACUUUUAGUUGGGAGGAAGGGCAGUAAGUUAAUACCUUGCUGUUUUGACGUUACCAACAGAAUAAGCACGGGCUAACUUCGUG